Molecule: ribosomal RNA, 1528 nt
Filed under: Candidatus Moraniibacteriota bacterium
Lineage: Bacteria; Candidatus Moraniibacteriota
Description: bacterial SSU rRNA
Rfam family: Bacterial small subunit ribosomal RNA
Source: RNAcentral
UUUACUGAGAGUUUGAUCCUGGCUCAGGAUGAACGCUGGCGACGUGGAUAAGGCAUGCAAGUCGAAUGACACACUUCGGUGUGGCAUGGCAAACGGGUUAGUAAUGCGUAGGAACGUACCUCUAAGUCAAGGAUAGUCUGGAGAAAUCCGGCAUAAUACUUGAUAGUCUCUUCGGAGUAAAGAUUUAUCGCUUAGAGAGCGGCCUGCGUCCUAUCAGCUUGUUGGUGAGGUAAUGGCUCACCAAGGCUAUGACGGGUAGGGGACGUGAGAGCGUGACCCCCAACAUUGGCACUGAGACACUGGCCAAACACCUACGGGUGGCUGCAGUCGAGAAUAUUCCACAAUGGACGAAAGUCUGAUGGAGCGACGUCGCGUGCGGGAUGAAGGCCUUUGGGUCGUAAACCGCUUUUAACCGGGAAGAAUUUCGAUGACGGUACCGGUUGAAUAAGAGGUUGCUAACUCUGUGCCAGCAGCAGCGGUAAUACAGAGACCUCGAGCGUUAUCCGGAUUUAUUGGGCGUAAAGCGUGCGCAGGCGGCUUAAAUAGUCAGAUGUUAAAUUAUCUCGCUCAACGGGAUAGCUGCAUUUGAAACGUUUAAGCUAGAGUUAAGUAGAGGUAAAUGGAACUCAUGGUGUAGCAGUGAAAUGCGUUGAUAUCAUGGGGAACACCAAAGGCGAAGGCAAUUUACUGGACUUUAACUGACGCUCAGUCACGAAAGCGUGGGUAGCGAACGGGAUUAGAUACCCCGGUAGUCCACGCCCUAAACGUUGCACACUCGUUGUUGGGAGAUUCGACCCUUUCAGCAACUAAGCUAACGCGUUAAGUGUGCCGCCUGGGAAGUACGGUCGCAAGACUAAAACUCAAAGGAAUAGACGGGGAUCCGCACAAGCGGUGGAGCAUGUGGUUUAAUUCGACAAUAAGCGAGGAACCUCACCAGGGCUAGAUAUCCAGCUGCAUUCUGAUGGAAACAUCGGAAGCCUUCGAGGGUGCUGGACAGGUGUUGCAUGGUUGUCGUCAGCUCGUGCCGUAAGGUGUUCCAUUAAGUUGGGUAACGAGCGCAACCCCUACUGUGUGUUACAAGUGUCACACGGAACUGCCCCGCCCUUUGGACGUAAUUUAUAAUUGCGAACAAAGGGCGGGGAGGAAGGUGGGGAUGACGUCAAAUCAGCAUGGCCCUCGACGCCCUGGGCGACACACGUGCUACAAUGGCCAGUACAACGGGUUGCAAAGUCGUAAGACUAAGCUAAUCUCUAAAAACUGGUCCCAGUUCGGAUUGAGGUCUGCAAUUCGACCUCAUGAAGUCGGAAUCGCUAGUAAUCCCGAAUCAGCCAUAUCGGGGUGAAUACGUUCCCGGAUCUUGUACUCACCGCCCGUCACACCAAGGGAGCUGGUAGUGCCUGAAGGUCCCGCCCUUUUGAUAUUAGCAAAUAGUAUCAAGGGGGCGGGAACCACGGCAAGAUCGGUAACAAGGGUGAAGUCGUAACAAGGCAUCCGUAGCGGAAGCUGCGGAUGGAUCACCUCCUUUCUA